AUUGAACGCUGGCGGGAGGAAGAAAAAAGGCAAGUCGAGCGGAUGACGGGAGCUUGCUCCGUGAUUCAGCGGCGGACGGGUGAGUAAUGCCUAGGAAUCUGCCUGGUAGUGGGGGACAACGGUUCGAAAGGAACGCUAAUACCGCAUACGUCCUACGGGAGAAAGCAGGGGACCUUCGGGCCUUGCGCUAUCAGAUGCACCUCGGUCGGAUUAGCUUGUUGGUGAGGUAAUGGCUCACCAAGGCGACGAUCCGUAACUUGUCUGAGAGGAUGAUCAGUCACACUGGAACUGAGACACGGUCCAGACUCCUACGGGAGGCAGCAGUGGGGAAUAUUGGACAAUGGGCGAAAGCCUGAUCCAGCCAUGCCGCGUGUGUGAAGAAGGUCUUCGGAUUGUAAAGCCCUUUAAGUUGGGAGGAAGGGUUGUAGAUUAAUACUCUGCAAUUUUGACGUUACCGACAGAAUAAGCACCGGCUCCCUCUGUU
RNAcentral lists this ribosomal RNA (484 nucleotides) under uncultured bacterium. Its description in RNAcentral is "partial 16S ribosomal RNA". It matches the Rfam family "Bacterial small subunit ribosomal RNA", at positions 30 to 507 of the family's 1533-position model. The record is from RNAcentral.